Molecule: ribosomal RNA, 468 nt
Filed under: uncultured bacterium
Lineage: Bacteria
Description: partial 16S ribosomal RNA
Rfam family: Bacterial small subunit ribosomal RNA
Source: RNAcentral
GACGAACGCUGGCGGCGUGCUUAACACAUGCAAGUCGAACGGAAAGGCCCUGCUUUUGUGGGGUGCUCGAGUGGCGAACGGGUGAGUAACACGUGAGUAACCUGCCCUUGACUUUGGGAUAACUUCAGGAAACUGGGGCUAAUACCGUAUAGGAGCUCCUGCUGCAUGGUGGGCGUUGGAAAGUUUCGGCGGUUGGGGAUGGACUCGCGGCUUAUCAGCUUGUUGGUUGGGUAGUGGCUUACCAAGGCUUUGACUGGUAGCCGGCCUGAGAGGGUGACCGGCCACAUUGGGACUGAGAUACGGCCCAGACUCCUACGGGAGGCAGCAGUGGGGAAUAUUGCACAAUGGGCGGAAGCCUGAUGCAGCAGCGCCGCGUGCGGGAUGACGGCCUUCGGGUUGUAAACCGCUUUCGCCUGUGACGAAGCGUGAGUGACGGUAAUGGGUAAAGAAGCACCGGCUAACUACGUG